UGAGAACUCAAUUUCCUGCCAGUGUGGGGUUAUGGGCCAUGAGGCAUGAGAAACAUGCAGAUCAGUGUCUCCUACGCGGUGGCAUUGUGAUAGGCUGGCUGCUGUUACAGUAUCAUUAUUAUUAAUAUUUGACCCAACCCACAAGGCUUCAGAGAGAGCUCAGUGAGGUGGUAAUGGGGGAGCCGCCCAAGGCCAACAGAGUGUUUGUGGUAGAAUCUGGUCCACCGAGAGGAACAGUUUGUCAUCAAGGAUUCAUUUGCUCUGUGCCCAGAAUCUGUUGCCAUCCAGACCCUGCUGAAGUCUAUGCUCAAGGAGCAGCCAUGGCCAGCACUUCAAGUGUGGCCAUCUAUACCUGCACCAGACGGUCUGUUAAUUAGUGCUGGAGUGUCAGAAGUCAUCGCUUUUCAGUGAAAAGAGUGUCGCUGAAGAUGUGUGCUUGGCAAGCAAUACCACACAGGCAUCUCCGCCGGUGCCUAAAGGAGGCCUGCACCCCAGCAGAGCAGAGCCCUGGGUCCAUACCUGCCUCUAAUCGGCCCUGGGCGUCCCCACGCAAUGAUCUGACUGGAAGGUUGGCCAGUCCUUGGUCAACAUGCCCUUGAAUUGACCCAGAGAGAGCUUUCCUGCGAAGGAUGGAGAAUGGGGCUCCCCGGGGCACCUGGGCAGUGGUGGGAGGUCUUUUUUUGUGCUUCUUUGGAAGAGAUGCUGUAAGUGGGGUAGCAUUGAUUUCAUGGUAACAUGCCAGCUGGCGAGGAGGUAUGGGGUGAGCCUACUGUCCUCACCUACCUCUGGGCCUCGGAGGCCACCAUAUCCACGGCAGAGAACCUGACCUGCCCUGUCGGGCACCCUGGGAGGGGCUGCCCAGUCAAGGGAGCAGCUGUGCAAACUGGCAGUGGAGGAGCCCCUACAGGCAGACUCUGCCCCCCCAGUUCCAGGGGAAGACAUUUCCUGGGGGUGGGCCCUCCCUUUAAUAGGUGAGAGGAAAAGAAGGAGGCCAAGAAGGAGAGAGCAGAGAGG
Molecule: long non-coding RNA, 1014 nt
Filed under: Equus asinus (donkey)
Lineage: Eukaryota; Metazoa; Chordata; Mammalia; Perissodactyla; Equidae
Description: lncRNA (ENSEASG00005031021.1)
Source: RNAcentral